UCAAGCCACAGUGUAGGUGGUCCUUCCAAGAAAGGGUUCUUGUAUCUUCCUGUAAAGUGCUUUCACUAACAUGUCUAAUUUGUUUGCUGCAGAUGGCUUUGGGGAGAAAGGAAAACCAGCCUCAGGUGAUGGAGGAGCGGUCCCACCUAAUGCUACACUGCAAAUUAGCUUGGAGUUGGUAACAUGGAAGACUGUCUCAAGUGUAACUGACGAUAAGAAACUUCGCAUUCUGCACUAUGAUCCUAGGGGAUUUAUCGGUUAUAGAAGAACUGAAAUAGGUUUACGGCAUGUAUGUUGAUGUUUACCGUGUGUAUUCAAUAUUAUAUGUGAGUGAUUGAUAGUUGAUAUUCACACACAUAUAUAUGUGUUUCUGUUUAUGUGUGUAUCUGGAAGAGGGUAUUAACAGUUUGAUUUAUAAGCAGUUUAUUCAGUGAUUCUAGAUUUGAGUUCGUUUUUACUAGUUACAGGAGAUUAUUGAUUAAUAUAAGCUCUAUCAAAACCAAGAACUGAAGCUUCUUCAUUAUUAGGAACUGACAUGUUCCAUAUAUCUUUGUUUUGUAUUAAAUCUUGGAUGAAUGAUAUCUCGGUAUGUGCUUUGCUGAUGCUUCUGUUCUUUUCUAAUAGGACAAGUAAUUAAGGGAUGGGAUCAAGGUAUUAAGACAAUGAAAAAGGCUGAAAAUGCCAUUUUCACCAUUCCUCCAGAGCUGGCUUAUGGAGAGUCUGGUUCUCCUCCAACUAUCCCUCCAAAUUCCACUCUCCAGUUUGAUGUUGAAUUGCUAUCAUGGGUGAGUGUAAAGGACAUCUGCAAGGAUGGUGGUAUCUUCAAGAAGAUCCUCACCAAGGGAGAGAAAUGGGAAAAUCCCAUGGAUCUUGACGAAGUUCUAGGUAGUCUUCUGUCUUCCUUUUAAUUUCAUCAGAGGUUUGUGUGUAUUUAUUUGGCCGAACAGUAAUAAGCAUUUGGUUUGAUCUUAUUGUUCAGUCAAGUAUGAAGCUCAGCUUGAAGAUGGAUCAUUGGUUGGAAAAUCAGAUGGAGUGGAGUUCACUGUUCAAGAAGGUAUCCAUGAGUCAUUGCAGUAUCUUGUUCACAAGGUUUAUAGAUUCACUAUCAUGCACUAACAUUAUUAUUGCGACAGGACACUUCUGCCCUGCUAUUGCGAAAGCUGUGAAAACUAUGAAGAAAGGUGAAAAAGUCCAGUUGACGGUCAAGCCACAGUGUAGGUGGUCCUUCCAAGAAAGGGUUCUUGUAUCUUCCUGUAAAGUGCUUUCACUAACAUGUCUAAUUUGUUUGCUGCAGAUGGCUUUGGGGAGAAAGGAAAACCAGCCUCAGGUGAUGGAGGAGCGGUCCCACCUAAUGCUACACUGCAAAUUAGCUUGGAGUUGGUAACAUGGAAGACUGUCUCAAGUGUAACUGACGAUAAGAAAGUAAUAAAGAAGAUCUUAAAAGAAGGGGAAGGAUUCGAGAAACCGAAUGCAGGGGCUGUGGUUAA
Molecule: long non-coding RNA, 1487 nt
Filed under: Solanum tuberosum (potato)
Lineage: Eukaryota; Viridiplantae; Streptophyta; Magnoliopsida; Solanales; Solanaceae
Description: long non-coding RNA (STUB_LNC009071)
Source: RNAcentral